This 450-nucleotide ribosomal RNA is filed under the name uncultured bacterium. RNAcentral describes it as "partial 16S ribosomal RNA". It matches the Rfam family "Bacterial small subunit ribosomal RNA", at positions 338 to 795 of the family's 1533-position model. The record is from RNAcentral.
CCUACUGGGGGCAGCAGUGGGGAAUUUUGGACAAUGGGGGCAACCCUGAUCCAGCCAUGCCGCGUGCGGGAAGAAGGCCUUCGGGUUGUAAACCGCUUUUGUCAGGGAAGAAAUCUUCCGAGCUAAUACCUUGGGAGGAUGACGGUACCUGAAGAAUAAGCACCGGCUAACUACGUGCCAGCAGCCGCGGUAAUACGUAGCGUGCAAGCGUUAAUCGGAAUUACUGGGGGUAAAGGUUGCAGACGCGGGUGAAAUCCCCGGGCUUAACCUGGGAACUGCACUUGUGACUGUACAGCUGGAGUACGGCAGAGGGGGAUGGAAUUCCGCGUGUAGCAGUGAAAUGCGUAGAUAUGCGGAGGAACACCGAUGGCGAAGGCAGUCCCCUGGGCCUGUACUGACGCUCAUGCACGAAAGCGUGGGGAGCAAACAGGAUUAGAUACCCUGGUAGUC